RNAcentral lists this long non-coding RNA (2032 nucleotides) under Harpegnathos saltator (Jerdon's jumping ant). Its description in RNAcentral is "uncharacterized LOC109503987". The record is from RNAcentral. Lineage: Eukaryota; Metazoa; Arthropoda; Insecta; Hymenoptera; Formicidae.
GCCGAAUUCGCCAGGAACGCUUCCUUGGCCUAUCAUUGUAUCGCGUCGUACCUAAAUUCGCGAUUGCCGCAUUAUUGUCCACCCGCGGUUGACUAUAAAAUUGUAAACGUUUUCAUUCAAAGAUAACCGAACUGUUUAGGCGACACUUUGGCGGGGUUCUUAUCGUUGUUGCAUCCGGAGAUCGAGUAACUCGCAUCUUGCUCCGACACAAAGAAGAAGGACUCCUCGGCCUGUCAGCGAACCGCCCGCUUCUUCACUCUCGUUGAGGCCGUCACACGUUUCGGACGCGUGCUCACAAGUCUCUCCUUAACUGUUGUACUUAGAGAAUCUUCAAGUUCCAUCAUCUCGUGACGGUCUCUCAUAUUCUCGUAUAUCUCCUUUUUUUCUUUCUGGUUCUUUCUCAUUACAAUUGUUGCAACCAAGUGUAUUCGUGACUUCAACCAAUUUCACGAUCUUCUUAAUUAAUUCAUACAAGAAAAGACAGACGCGACUUUCGGAAGCCGGGAGUGCGAUAUCGCGAGCGUUCGACGUUCCGUCAUCUCAGCUGGGAGGAACGCGGGCACGUACGAGGGCUCCUUCUCCCGUUCCGUCGGACGCCUAAACAGUGACGUUCCUGCCAUCCGAUUACAAUUGAAAGAGACUUUGAUAGAAAAUUCUCCGAACACAAAGAACGCUUAAUAACAUCCUGGGAUGAAGAGUUUAAAAAUUUUUUUAAUUUUUUCAAAAAAAUGUAUUUACAGCAGAUUACUUGCAUGAAAUUUUAAUGAAUGCACAAUCCUUAUCUAAUGAUUCGAAAACGGCAAUUCAAAUUUGGCUUUUAGCAAGUGUUGUAGCUGCGAAGUCUAAUAAAAUAUGUAUCAAAAUUGGAAAUAAAAAAAGACUAUAGAGGCCUACAAUCUCGGAAUGUCGAGAAGGUAUUUUAGUGCAUUGCAAAUUACCUGGAGAUGUUGGAUCAACAUGCAAGGAAAAAGAAAAUAAGAUGCUACAGAUGACUCUUAGUAUGCAACCAUUUAUAAUAGUCGUUGGACCACAAAUAACUUCAAUUGAAGAAAUAUACAUUCGUCUUGAUAAAACUCUAUAUCCUAUGCCGAGUGUAUUGAAAGCAUUAGAUAUAUUCUUUAAGAUUUUCAUAACACGUUUAAUGCGUGUUAUCCAAAAGAAUGUGAAAAUGUAUGGUAUUUGAUACAGUGGAGUAUCUAUGACAUUCACACAAGUUGGAACUAGAACAUUCCUUUUCUCUGUAAUGCACUAACAAGUAAAGGUACCUAACUGUCACUCACCGAUUUUGAUGAAACUUUGCCCACUUAUAGAACGAUGGAAAAUAAUCGACACGUAUUUUUUUAUCUGCGGAGAAGCAGUUUUAAGGGUAGAAAUUACCCCUUAUUUAUAUAGAGUGUUUUCGCGUUAGAAGUGCUAUCUUGUUGUUUAUUCGAAAGGCUGAAAGGUUUCAUGGGAUUUUUGGAGUCGCUAAAUUCGAAUCUGACGUGAAAAUUCAAAAAUACAAAAUGGCGGAUCAAAUAUGGCGCCUAUGUCUCGUGAAUGGGACUAUUUUUUCCAUGUAAAUUAAAAUGAUGUUGACGAAAAUUACGAUUUUUUAAAUAUAUAGGGGAAAUCACAUUGUUUUCACUAUUUUUAGUAUUACUGUUUGUCAUUUGUUUUUAUGCGUGCAUAUGAAAUGUCUUCAGGCAACUUAUAUGGAAUUUGCUGUUAUGUCACCUAACAUUAAAUGAAUCUAUUGAGAAUAAAUGUUCCAUAUAUUUCAGUAUGUCAUUAUUCAUUGAGCGAUCUCGAAAACCUAAAAAAAUCGUAAUUUUCGUCAACAUCAUUUUAUUUUACAUGGAAAAAAUGGUCCCACUCACAAGACAUAAGCGCCAUAUUUGAUCCGCCACUUUGUAUUUUUGAAUUUUCACGUCAGAUUCGAAUUAGCGACCCCAAAAAUCCCAUGAAACCUUUCAGCCUUUCGAAUAAACAACAAGAUAGCACUUCUAACGCGAAAACACUCUAUAUAAAUAAGGGGUAAUUUCCACCCUUA